RNAcentral lists this ribosomal RNA (417 nucleotides) under uncultured bacterium. RNAcentral describes it as "partial 16S ribosomal RNA". It matches the Rfam family "Bacterial small subunit ribosomal RNA", at positions 360 to 775 of the family's 1533-position model. The record is from RNAcentral.
AAUAUUGGUCAAUGGAGGCAACUCUGAACCAGCCAUGCCGCGUGCAGGAUGACGGUCCUAUGGAUUGUAAACUGCUUUUGUACCGGGAGAAAACAUACUACGUGUAGUAAAUUGACAGUACGUUAAGAAUAAGGAUCGGCUGCCGCCGUGCCAGCCGCCGCGGUAAUACGGAGGAUCAAAGCGUUAUCCGGAAUCAUUGGGUUUAAAGGGUCCGUAGGCGGCCUUAUAAGUCAGCGGUGAAAGUUUUUGGCUUAACCAAAAAAUUGCCGUUGAUACUGUAGGGCUUAAUUUUUGUGAAGUAACUAGAAUAUGUAGUGUAGCGGUGAAAUGCUUAGAUAUUACAUGGAAUACCAAUUGCGAAGGCAGGUUACUAACAAACGAUUGACGCUGAUGGACGAAAGCGUGGGUAGCGAACAG